Long non-coding RNA from Mugil cephalus (flathead mullet), 342 nucleotides. RefSeq lists it as uncharacterized. Lineage: Eukaryota; Metazoa; Chordata; Actinopteri; Mugiliformes; Mugilidae. The transcript has 4 exons. The record is from RefSeq and is a predicted model, not a curated record.
UAGCCGCUUGGCUAACUUGAAAACACCUGGCGCACAGGACAGGUUGGUGAACAUGGAGUUCUCUGUGCAGUACCGAAGAAGACAGCGGAGCAUCUCAAAGAAGUAAUGCGGAAGAGAAAUCCAAGCCAAGUGGGAAAAGAAGGCUGAACAGGGAUCAGUUUCAGACGGAGGAAGUGAAAGGGAGAACAUAACUUGUAUUGUCACCCCAUGGACGUCACGUCAUUACAGUGCUCAGCAGGUGACUGCAGCAGCUAGCCUAAAGCUAACCUCGCGGUCCAGCUCCAACCCUGGAAGUUUCUGUCACGUCACCGAUUAACCGCACGCUGAGCUGUUAUUUAAUGA